UGUGUACAUUACAAUCAUAAUAUGAAAGAUAAAGUAGGAUAAAGCGAUAGGUCCAUGUCUAUGCUAUUAGACAAUUAAACAAAAAUAUCUAAUCUGUUGGAAAUUAAAAGACAAGUUAAGCUAGCAGUAGAUUAAGGAAUGACUACAAAUGUCUGUAUUUCCAUCGCAACAACUGCUUUCAAGGAUAACAGAUUCAGCUAUCUCCGUCCCUGAAUACAAGAUUCGACAACACACUGUCCCAAGAGAAACGUGUGCCAAUAUUUAACCAUAUCCAGUCUAGCGCUAUUUCUGUAGAAUACCAAAAGAUAUGGUUUCGUAGAAUAGAAUUCUCCGGUAAUUUGAAAUCCAUGUAAAAUCAAAGUUGCCAUCGAAGCGUGCAAUAUUUUAUAAUUGACAUAGCGAAAUAGCGUAACAAGGCUGCGUAUUGUAUUCAAGUUUUUCCUCAAGAUAUUAACGAACCUUUUGCUCACCGAAACAGAAAGCAGCGAGAUUCAGCCAUGAAAACUGAAGAAUCGCAGCACAGAAUUAAAUCCAUCGACGUUCAAAGUCGCCACCGAAGCGUGCGAUAUUUUACGACUAACAUAGCGAAAUAGCGUAACAAUACGGCGAAUUGUGUUAAAAGUUUUUCCUCCAGAUAUUAAAAUACUUUUUCUUUUUGUUUGUCGAAACAAGAGCGAGAUACAGCCAUGAAAACUGAAGAAUCGCGGCAGAAUUAAAUCUCAUCGAAGUUCAAAGUCGCCAUCGAAGCGUGCGAUAUUCCACGUUAACAUAGCGAGACAGCGAGUAACGAUACCGCGUAUUAAAGUCUUCUCUCAAGAUAUUAAAACGCUCCUUUCAUUGUGCCGAGGCGAGAGUGAAAUUCGUCCGUGGAAAUUGGAGGAUCGCGACGGGACCGAGUCCAAUCGAAUGAAAAUUCAGAGUCGCGAACGUAGCGUGCAACGUUUCGAAAAUUCCCCGGCAUAUUGAGGGAGACACGGCGAGAUAGUGUCGCGAUACAACGUUACUGUCACCGGAAGAGGGAAACGAGAGAAACCUGGAGCAAUCGAGGGGUGGUUCGAGUGACAUUAAAGGGUGUCGCGAGUCCUAAAUUGCAGGCCGGCUGGCUAUGUUCGCCCUGUUCCAGUAAGAUAGGGGCUCGUUUCGCGUUCGCCGGCAACAGAUACAAAUUUUCUCCACUUAAUUCCAUCGGCCGUAGAAGUCUAAUUGCGUCGGCGACAAGCUGGAAACGAGUGUCGUUUAAACACGGGCCCCUAUGGAAAAACCGACGCCCUCUGUAACUGCAUCCACCGUAAAAUUCCCGUGAAUCUUCGUUCUGCAACCGGAAAAACGCUGGAAGACGUCGUUGUUCGAAGAUGAAUCUACAGUCGAAUAAAUCUCGUCGUGCGAUUUAUACGAGGAGGACGAGGAUCGAUGCUGCCUGGUGAUAAUUAAUCCAUUAAAUCCGAGGAUUAUCGAACUGGUACGAGAAAGAACUUUGCGAUAAUCCUAACGAAUUGACUCGCAGUAAUUGCAACGAGUAGGCGUCGCUGAUGCUACACCGGUGACCGGCGAUGUACAAGCUGUAAUAUUAUGAAUCUUAGUGCCUCGAAGUGUAAUACCAUGGAGCAUCGCACAACGGGACAGAGCACAGAACUACGACGCACAGUGCCAUAAACCAUAAAACGCAGAGUAUUAUGAAUCACGAAGCCACAGUAAAUAUCGGAAUUCGCAAUUCCUAUAUCCACCGAAUCAACGCUCGGCCAUUCUAAAUAUCGCCAGGCGUAAAUUACGAACACAGUGAAAUAAAUCAGCUUCUAUUCGUUGGUGCAA
Bombus pascuorum is the source of this 1809-nucleotide long non-coding RNA. RefSeq lists it as uncharacterized. The record is from RefSeq and is a predicted model, not a curated record. The transcript has 2 exons. NCBI's taxonomy places the organism in Eukaryota, Metazoa, Arthropoda, Insecta, Hymenoptera, Apidae.